GCAGAGCAGGGAAGAACUUAUGUGGUGUGGGAAGUAAAUAGUGCAGGAUAUUUCCAGUCUACUCCGCCUGAGGCUGGAGCCCUAGCAGCUUCAAAAGCAGACAGAGUGAUAAGUAUGAGGAACCUGUCAGUAUAGAAGCAGGACGUUCAUGGGAAGUAACAUAAAUAGUCCACAGGGAGUAACUGAAGCUUGUUAGUGGAACUACUGAGGACAGAAGAGCUUAUGUCCUCUGUGAUGCCUCAGCCACAACAGAGGGAGGAAGGGGAGGAGGAAGAUGAAGAGCAAGGGGAGAAGUUUGGGUUUGUCGACAGUGCUGAUGAAGAGAAAGAGCCAGCGGAUUGUAAAGACCCUGUCUCACACUCUGUAAAAGCCAGUCAAAAAUCAAACCAGUCAUUUAAGGAGGCUACAAACCCACCACAGGACAACACACUAACACCCACUGCACACUCACAACAGCACCUCAAUGCAAUGCCCCCUGCUGGUCAGGAGGAGGCUCCCUCCCAGGGACAAUACUCCACAGCCUCUCCAGAUGUUCCAGUUAGCGACCCACGCAGGCGGGUCUCUGGCCCCGUUGAGCUGGUUGAGCCCAGUGACGGAGCACCCUCCGUGGGAGAGCAGGCCCAGGGAGGUUCUGGUCCUGGAGAGGCGUUACCUGUGGAGAAGCAGACUGACUGGGAGGACCAUAGUGUGGAGAUACCCAAGGAGAGCUCAAGUCUGAGGGAACACUCUGAAGAUGUGACUGAUGCUGAGGCUGAGGCUGAGGCUGAUGCAGAGCCCCAGACAGGGAUCCUAGAGGUGAUCUAUGAUGACGUGCCCUGUGAGGGACCACUCUCUCCUGACGAAGGGGACAUGCUCUAUGAGGAUGUACACAGAGAAGAUGGGCCCCAGGGUGCAGGCAAUGAUUGGAGCUCCAGUGAGUUUGAGAGCUACGAAGAGCAGUCUGAUACCGAGAGCAAACUACCAACCCUCAGCAAGGUUCAUCAGCUAAUGAAGGCCGCCAGGAGUGGGACCAAGGAUGGACUGGACAAGACCAGAAUAGCCUUUAUGCGAAAAGUCUCCUUCCUGCACAAGAAGGACCACUCAGAGGAUGUGGAGGAUGACGCAGGGUACCUGGAUGUGGCUGUGUCAGAUGUGAAACAUCCUCCUGUACAGCUGAGCCCUAUGCCUGAGGGACUGAGCAGCCAGCAGGUGGUCAGACGUCACAUCCUGGGCUCCAUCAUUCAGAGUGAGCGCAGUUAUCUUGAAUCCCUCAGGAGAAUCCUUGAGGAGUACCAGAGCCCAUUGCUGGAGGCGAACCCACGCAUCCUGAGCCCACGGAAGAUCCAGCCUGUAUUUUACCGCCUACGGGAGAUCACUCAGUGUCACUCCAUGUUCCAGAUCGCACUGGCGUCACGUGUGGCUGAGUGGGACAGCAGUGAGAAGAUUGGGGACCUAUUUGUGGCCUCGUUUUCUAAGUCGAUGGUGCUAGAUGUUUACAGCGACUAUGUCAAUAACUUCACCAAUGCCAUGGCCCUCAUAAAAAAGGCAUGCAUGUCCAAACCAGCUUUCCUGGAAUUCUUAAAGAUGAAACAGGCGUCCAGUGUUGACCGGAUCACCCUGUACGGCCUCAUGGUGAAGCCCAUCCAACGCUUUCCCCAGUUCAUCCUUUUACUGCAGGACAUGCUGAAGAACACACCUAAGGGUCACGUAGACUGCCUGCCUCUGCAGCUGGCUCUGACUGAACUAGAAAUGUUGGCCGAGAAGCUGAAUGAACAGAAGCGUGUGGCCGACCAAAUAGCUGAGACUCAGCAGCUAGCACGCAGUGUCAGCGACCGCUCGCUCAGCAAGCAACUGAACUCAGACCAGGGGUCGCUGGUGCUUUGUGAGACACUGAUUGAGACGGUGUAUGGGGAGCGAGGCCAGGUCCUGAAGUCUAAGGAGCGCAAAGUCUUCCUCUUCAACGAUAUCCUCAUCUGUGCCAACAUCAACGUCAAGGGGCCCCUUGAUAUCAGCAGCCUAGUCCCUGUUGGUCCUAAGUACACCGUGAAGUGGAGUGCCCCCCUGCUGCAGGUCCAGGUAGUGGAGGUGGGUCAGGAGGCCUCCCAGGAGACCCUGUUCCAACUUGGCGGUGCCAAGCACCCUGGCAGUGCCUGUCCCCCAGGGAAAGUGAUCCUGGGUCCUCCACGGCUUUACCAGGAACUCCAGGACCUGCAGCACGACUUGUCUGUGGUGGAGGAGGUCACACUACUGGUGGGAACACUACAGGGGACAUACCAGAACCUGAACACGACUGUGGCCCAGGACUGGUGUCUAGCUCUACAGAGACUCAUUCGGAUCAAGGAGGAUCAACUUCAGAGUGCCAACAAGUGCCGCUUACGCCUGCAGGUGCUUGGGAGACCAGACAAGUCGGGACGUCCCGUCAGCUUCAUGGUGGUUUUCAACACCCCCAGCCCCCUCAGCAAGAUCUCCUGGGUCAACCGGCUGCACCUGGCCCAGAUUGCGCAGCGAGAGGAGAACACACCAGGAUGGUUCUGUGCAGAGGAUGAAGGGAAGACCAUGUCACCAUUUUGGCCUUUACUGGCCUGCCGUGUGCCUGUCUUUACCACCAAAUCCUCGGACAGGAAGUUUGAAGCUGCCCUUCACAAUCCAGGACAGUUCUCUGCAGGGUGCACCUUGCUACCUCAAGGUUACCUCUGGGUGGCCAGCGGAGGAGAUGUCACCCAGGGGCAGGUGGAGAUAUUCUCCCUGAACAGGCCCACACUGCGCCCAGUGAAGAGCCUCCAGGUGGGGGCCCCAGUGAGGUGUCUGGAAUAUGUGCCUGAACCCAGAACCUCAGAGGAGGUGGAGGCUGUAGCCUUCAGGAGCUCUACUGGGGUGGGGAACACCAUCUGUUUGGGACUAGAUGAUGGAAGCAUCCUGGUGUAUGGCAGUGUGAACACUGAGGCCCAGUGCCUGUUGAACCUGCGAAACCCUCAUAGCUGCCCUGUUCUGUGCCUCAAACACUGCACCAACUUCCUGUUUGCUGGGCUCAGGGAUGGAACCAUGAUGGUCUAUGGAAGAAGUAAUGGAGGUGAGUUGUGGGAGCCAGACUCCAGCAGGACUGUUAUUGUGGGCCCAGAGCCGGUGAGGACACUUCUUUUACUGGAGGACUCUAUGUGGGCCAGCUGUGCCAACUCUGUGACCAUCAUCGAGGGCUCCAGCCUUGCCACCCAGAGGUUUGAGGUACACCCAGACCCCAUGGUGACCGUGGCCCAUAUGGUGCGGGCUGGGGGAGGAGUUUGGAUGGCCUUUAGUGAGGGCUCUUCUAUUCGCCUGUUCCACACUGAGACACUGGAGCAUCUGCAGGAAAUCAACAUCUCCACGCGAGUAUCUUUGCACAACCCAGGUAACAGAAAGAGAAAGGAAACAGUAACCAGCUGAACAUGACAGUAUGCCAGUGGGAGGCAGGACAGUAGCAGGCCAGAAGAGCAUGCGUGUCACCAGCCUGCUCAUCCACCAGGGGCUGCUGUGGGUGGGCACUGUUCAGGGAAUCAUCAUCACUCUGCCUGUGCCCAAACUGGAGGGCAUCCCCAAAAUAACAGGAAAGGGGAUGACCUCUCUGAAUGCCCACUGUGGUCCGGUGGACUUCCUGGUGGCCACGUCCAGCACCCUGUCCCCAGAGCUACUGAAGAGGGAUUCUGUGGCGGACGGACCCGACUCUGCCUGCGGAGAGGAGGACCGCAGUUACUCCUCCUCCCAGGAGUCUCUGCCGCAAUCAGGCUCCUCCCAGGGGGAGGGGGGGGGCAAGGGGCGGGGUGUGCUGCUACAGUACAGGUUGCGCUCCACUUCGGGGUUGCCAGGGCGACCGCUAACGGUGAGGGGCGAUGAAGCAUCGGACUCCUCCCUGGAGUCUUUGGAGCACAGCCUGGAGGACGGCUCAAUCUAUGAGUUCAGUGGCGACCCAGAGAUGUGGGUGCAGGGACGCCCCUGUGAGCGGGACGGGGGGCGCAGGGACAGAGGGAUUUCGGCAGCGGUCAUAUCUGGGGGCAGGGGUUUCCACAGACUGAGGGAAGGGACAACGGAGCGGGCGGGGGUGGAGUCUUCAGAAACAACCCUGAUGAUGUGGGAACUACCACUGACAGUGUGAUCUGGGUAUCAACACUCAGGCAGUGUAGAGGGGAGAAGCAGAUCUUUUCCCCAGCCCUGAAUCCUCUCCAUCCCGUAAUGCCAGGAACAUGAACCAUGUGAAAGCAGGACAUUAGUGCUGGCACAGAGCACAAGGCCAGGCUGAUGACUCUUUGUGUUAGGGAGCUCCUGCAUGCUCCAUCUGAGGAGACCUGCUGGUGACCUGUGAGGCAUGGGGUACUGCCAUCCCAUUGGUGGAUCUGGAUGACCCUGCUUACUCAUUCUCAGCCACAGGUCCAGAGCCUUUCUUGUGACAUCUUAAACUGGUCCUCUCCCCUCCUUACAAGUAUGGAUAUGCCGAAAUCAAGCAUCAUCAGAGCUGACAGUGCUUGCCUCACACAGAUUUCUCUCCCACGGUUGACAGCCUUCCUUUGUGAGUAAGAAUUGACCACAUUUCUUUGAGAGUGACACUUUGUUGAAUCUGCCAUGCUGCAGUGCCGAAGAUGGACCUCUUUUAUCUGAAGCCAUCUGUUUAGGGCUGAGAAAAGCUGAGAAACUACUGUAGGUGUUAUUUAGUUCUAUUAGUUCAGAAAACCUCAAGCACUCCCUGGCAAUGUGAAAUAUGUGAAAUGUCUGUCAAUGUGUCACAAGUGAAUCUGUGCUUUUAGAAAAAUGAAAGUGUGUUGGACGCUGACUGUGAGUCCUUAAUCGUCAGAUUUCUUUUCUACUGCAUAAAUAGGUAGGUUAUCUGAGAUAUGAGAGGGAAUAGAAGGCAAUGUCUUUGUGUCCUGGUCUAUCAGAGUUUAGUAGUUUUACAUUUAAAUGUUCCCACUUGUAUUACUACAAAGUGCAAAAUGCACACCAUUCAUGUUUCUUGUGGAUGACGAUGAUAUUGUCCAUUUUAAGUCAGUUAAAGCAAAUAUAUCCACACCAGCAUGAUAAUAUGCAACAAACUGCAUGUAACCUAUGUUACACAACAAAAGGCCUACUGAAUUCAGUACAAUAGACAACGGCUACAACUGCUGCAGCCACCCAGACGUCAUUAGUGGCUGUGUGGAGGCACCUAAAACGGAGAAUGCUUUGUAUGGGUUUUUGUGGCAAUUUAACACACACGAACCUUUGAUAAAUCUAUCCCCUAGUGUCCUUAAGCAUUUUUAUCUCCUUUCCUUCACUCCCUGUUUGAAGCCAUUGCCAUCGGUGGUUUGGUGUGCUAACAGAGACAUGGUAAUCUCCUGCCCUGUUUCUGUUUCUAUUGUAUUCUGCUACAACGGAAAUGGCCUACCUUUGACAAUGUCUUUGAAAAUUGUUGAUUGACAAAUUCAUUGAGAUGUUUGGCUAUGAAUGCAUGGUGUUGAAGACUUGGUGUUAUUUUGCGUUUCCUAUGCUGCUGGAUGGAAAUGAUGGUCGAUUCCAUAUUUUGUCACCACUUCUGUAGAAUAUGUUGUAUAAUUCCCUUUACAUCUCCAUACCCGAGUUCUCUUUUUCAUCCCAGUAGAAGGUCCUGCUUUCUAUGGUUCUGAAACAUUAUUUUAUUUUACUUCGUCUCCCCGGCAUUAAAAUACAGUUGCUUUGGUUAACAGGUCAAGGUCAACAGAAAACAUAACUCAGUACAGUGUUGCGUUGUUUCUAUAAAAAUGUACAGUGCACAUGAGAAAAGCUGUUGAAAGCGUACUGUACAAGACUUGUUUAGUGUUCCUAUGAUAAUACUAUUCUACAACACUAUUCUGGAGGUCACCCACAUGUCAAGGUUAUUUGGAUGUAGCCAGAGUGUAUGAUUGAGUAACCUUUAUGUAGUAUACAUCAUUGGCGGUCGGUGCCGUUUAAGAUGAGGGAGGCCGAUAUUUUUUAUUUUAUGAGAAUGACCUUAUUUCUACAACAUAUUGGAGGACUGUCAUUCACAUUCUAUUCACCCAGAUCAAUGUAAUAUUGAUAGGUUUAGGCUACUACAUGAUACUCAAAUGUUCCCUAUACCCAUCAUGAGGUUACAACCUAGCUUCCGAAUUAAAGUUUACGACGUACAUGUAGGUGCACAGGUUGAGAGAGAAAUUACAUAUUCAAUAUCGCCUUGCAGACUCUUGCCUGCAUCUAGUUGAUCUAGGGUGUAAUCAUUAGUCCAACAGUUGCAAAUGAGAGUUUCUGUUGGACAAAUUCAGGCAUGUUUAUCCCCGUUUCAUUCUGUUUGCUUCCAUUUAAGUUUUUCAACAGAAUCGGCAAAAUGAAUAAACCCCUGACCACCGCAAACACAGUUUACUAUCAUAGCAGCCACAUACAAACAGCAUGGUCAUUUGCUUGUUGUAUAAUUCCUUCUCUCAUCUACAGUACGCAUUCUCAUCAUCUUAUACUUUCCAUUUCUCUUGUGGGAUUCAUAUCUUAAUGUGUAUCUUAAUGUGUGUCCGUCCUCUCAUCCUUCCCCAUCAUUUUAGCCUCAAUAUUAUUUUAUCUAUUCACACUCAUAAAUGGAGAUUGUCUAUUAUAACUUUACACUCAUACUAACCAUGCUGUCUGUUCCUAUAAAACAAAAUUUGCAGCUACUAGAAGCUACCCAUACUUUGACUUUCAUUCACAUAAUUGAAAAUAAUGUGCCCUUAUAAUAUUAUAGACUUUGACACCUCUGUGGUAGAGAAAGAGGCUUAUGAUAAGUCACUCGGUUUAACUCUUGAACAUCAUGAAAUAAUGUGACUCAGUUGUAUAAGUGGAUAGAUUGAGAGGUCUAACAUUAGAUGUACAGUAUAAUGUUAAGUUACAUUGCACAUAUAAAACAAUGCUUAACUCCAUUAAAUGUCAAUUCCAAUUGCCCUUUGGUACGUUAAUGAAUACAUGUUUACAUACUGUACUUUAAAAGUGUUUCAUAAUUCAUGUGUAAUAUGUCAAUGUUAAAUAAAUACUUCAUAGCGAUAACAUGAUAUUCCAAUUAUCUU
RNA transcript from Oncorhynchus kisutch (coho salmon), 7001 nucleotides. It is a transcript of the gene named rho guanine nucleotide exchange factor 10-like protein, with no coding region annotated. The record is from RefSeq and is a predicted model, not a curated record. Lineage: Eukaryota; Metazoa; Chordata; Actinopteri; Salmoniformes; Salmonidae. The transcript has 27 exons.